UGUGAGCCGCUGUGCCCAGGCCAAUCCCAGAGAUUUUGAAGAUGAUUUCUCGAUACGAGUUUCACGAAGACUUGAAAAGAAUGUGUCCUCUGUUGUUGGAUGGAGUGUCCUUGAAAUGUUCAUUAGCCUUCUAGCUCCAUUCAGAAGAGCCUCCGAAGUAGAGACCAGAAAUCCUUCUAGUGGGCUGUGCUUUGAGCAGUACUGCUUGUUGACUGCUUUACUUGGAAGGAGAGAUCGACUGAGGACAGCACUGGAUUUGACUCAUCCCUGCAUCCCCCGAGCACCUCGUGGGUGCCGUAAAGGCAGCUGGGUUGAUGAUGACUGAGUGAAGGAGCGCCUGAGUGGAUGAGCCACUGAGUGAAUGAACUGGAGUUCAUCUUCCACGUGGUCCUCAGCAUCCACUCUAGAAGCCAAAGCCAAGGACACAGCAACCCACCGAGUGCCUUGUCCUCACUCUCUCCAACUGGGGAGUGCCCCUGCGGUGUCAUCUCUCUUUACAGAAGAGAUGCCAUGAGCUACUUUCCUUUCCCCACCUCACCUAACUUCUCUGCUGUAGCCUAACAGUCCAGGACCUGGGGAUUCAGGUGAGACACAGAUUAAGUCCCCAUAACUGACAUUUUCUUCUGAGAAGAAAGCAUUCACAUUCAAGGACUUGAGCAGCUCUGAGCCCCAUGGCAGCUGAGAUGCCACAGUGCGUCAAGUACAGGCACAUGGCAUCUGGGAGGCAGAGCUACAUCCUCUGGGUUGGAUGAUUUCUGCCUUUCCCCAGGGGUUCACAGCUUGCAAUCAUUCUGUAACUGAGGAGUCUGGUGGAAAUGGGGGUAGCAAAGAGAUCAGAGCAGGCAAAUGGUCCUCUGGGGCUGGGAACACUCCCUCUUUCUACCUUCCAACUGCAGGCACAUGUACGUGUCUUUUCAGCCUGAGGGAUCUAAAGCCUUGGGACUUCUGGAUCUGCAAGUGGUCCCUGUUUUGGUAGCUAUUGACUGACGAGGGGCUCUUCGGUAAGUUCUGGGGUGGCAGUGGAGGUGAUGAUGGGAGGGUGUUACAGGGCUCCACAGGCUCUUACAGGGCUCGGGAGCUUAUUUAAGGGAACACCUUGAUUGUCCAUGUGUCGUGGGCCAGAGAAGAAAGGCAGCACUGUGGAUCUUCUGGGAGGAAAGGAGAGGCGUCGAUUUCUGACUCCAGUUUUCUAUGAUCAGCACAGACUCUGUCCCACCUCCUCCCUACAGAGCUUCUGGAUCCUGGAGGAUGGAGAAUAGGCUAAAUUGCACAGGCCAGCUCCAGUCCAUUGGCAGGGCUGCCUAGAACAUGGCUGUGAUGAUCCCAAAGCUCAAUAGCAGAGAACCCUGUGGGGUGCUAGGAGUGUCUGCCAGGGUGCCGCAGGGAAAGGGGAGCAUGUGUGUAGAUGUAGAAAGCAUCUCUGCCAUCCCCUCCCCUAAAGAAUAUAUAACAUGGCCAUGCAGAAAAACACUUGUGAAAGGAGCUGCUGCCCUCAGGACAGCGUGUCAUUGAAAUGGGGGCUGAGCAACCCGUCAGAAGAGUGGGGAGGAGGGACCAUCCUCCAGCCCCUUCCCAGCUCUCUUCUGGAGCCAUAAGCCACAACACUGUCUAUGAAAAAGCUGAGGCCUAGAGCAGAAGGAGUGCAAAAUCCCAGCUACUGCAGGCCUACGCCCAGUGGUUCUCAAAGUGUUGUCCUCAGUCUAGCAGCAUCAGUGUCACCUGAAAACUGGUUAGACAUCCAGGUUCUCAGUUGUUAUCCAGCUCUAGCAGAUGGGAAACGCUGGGGGCGGGACCAGCCAUCUGUGUUUAACAAGCCCCACAGGUGACUGCUGUAGCCUUGAGUGAGGACCUCGGCCAAAAAGAAGGCUCCUACCGUGGCUGUUUGCUGAUGGUCUUCGCAGAGCCUGCUGUCUUUGAGCUUCCUGAGAGAGGGACACUACCCUCGCUUAGCCUGGCAGUGUUGCCCAGGAGGAGGCAGUGGAGUUAAGAAGCCUGGGUCUGAGCUCCUCAGCUGUGCAGACAACUCCUACUUGUUCUUCAACGCUCAACUUUAAGUUCAGUCACCACCUGCAGAAGUCUUCUCCAAAACCUCCCCACCUGGCUGACUAAGGGGCUGGCUUUAUGCUCUUGCAGUACUCAUGCUUCCUACUGUCACAGUUCUGACCACACCGUGGGAAAACGUCUCUAACUAGAGACCUGUCUUGCCUCUUGUGCCUGUAGUACGGGAUGGGUGCCCAGUGUGUGUUGAUUGUAUGAAUCAAUCUCUGUGACUCCAGAGUUCCUUUCUUCAGGAGAUUAGACAUCACCCCUGCAAUCAACAAUGCAAGCCACUGCUGUUUCCUCCAUCCUGAGCAUGAGGAACCUAUCCAGUUUCUCUCUCAGAUGCCAGGGCCAUGAGGCAAGUCCAGCCUUGGCCUAGAACCAAAGAUGGAAACAAAAAGGGGCCAGACUGUGUUGCCUUCUUGAGCCUGGUCUGACUCCUGAGUGGAAGUCUGAUUCCAGGUACAUGAGAUAAGCACUAAUACCUCCAGUUUGCAGAUUAAGAGACUGAGGUCCUGAAGAGGUUAAAGAACUUGGCUCAAGUCACAUAGCUGGUGAGCAGCAAGAUACAAGAAUCAACCCAAGUCCAGGGGGCUGUGUGCCGUUUACACUUCACAUCUGUGCUGCCAGGGCUGUAGCUAUAAAAGCUUGAAAACCAUUACUCUGAGAAUCUCUCUGUUGGGAAAAUGAGUCCCUUCAACUCUAGUUGUUGCCACUGGGAUGCUAACAGAAAGCAAAGUCUCAGAGGAAAGAUGUGGCAUUCCUGAGUGUCUUCCAUGUACCAGGACUUCUAUUUGCUAGCCACUUUAUGUUCCUCAUCCCAUCCUUCUGUGAGGGACAUACUUUUCAGAUGAGAAACGUAAGCUCCGCGAAGCUAAGGGGCCGGACUGAGGUCCCACAGCGAGAGUGUGGAGGAGCCAGGAUCCGAACCCCAUCGCCAGCCCUUGCCAGUUCCAUGAUUCCGGUGCCAGCGCUCGCCUGACCUCCAGGGCUGUCAUGGUGGGAAGGGACUGGAGGGCAUCUGCUGGGCAAAGGAAAGAGACAAACAUCAUCCCAGAGCCUGUCUUCCCUGGGCAAUACCCGGGCCACUCCAGACAUGGCGUCUUUAGCCCUUCCUUGGUCACUGGCCCCCAGGUGAAGAGAGCAUUUUUCUCUGACUCAAGUUCUUGCCUCUGGAUUUGCCAAGCUCCUAUGACAGUCUUCGCCCUUCUGAAGCUCUCUCAGGCUCCCCUUCCAGAAAUCCCGCAGGUUCCACCGACCUCUCUGAGAGCACAGGCGAGUGGUUGAACGGUGGGCUUUAGAGACGGCGCGGCACCAGAGUCCUGUACUGGCUGUGUGAUCCUGAACCUCCUCACUGAGAUUCUCAUCUGCAAGAUGGAGA
Molecule: long non-coding RNA, 3421 nt
Filed under: Homo sapiens (human)
Lineage: Eukaryota; Metazoa; Chordata; Mammalia; Primates; Hominidae
Description: HSALNT0297592
Source: RNAcentral